UGGAUAGAUUAUUGUAUUCGAUUGUAUUCGACUAUAUUCAAGGCGUGAAACAAGGGAUUACACUAUUUUUUAAACGAAAAGUGAAUCAAUUAACAUAAUAGACUCCU
Non-coding RNA from Nicotiana sylvestris (wood tobacco), 107 nucleotides. Lineage: Eukaryota; Viridiplantae; Streptophyta; Magnoliopsida; Solanales; Solanaceae. The record is from Rfam.